CUUCCAAAUGGGAAAAACAAGUCUGAACCUUGGCAACUCCUAGGGAAAGCAGAAUUCUUUUUUCUCUCCCUCCUACUCUCCUGAUAUGUAAUCUGGAGAAAACCAUCUUAGCAGUUGGGCAAAUAGGAGUGCCAAUUGAUAGCCCAAGGAGAACUGGGUGGAAUGUGAAUGGAGACACAUGAGAGAAGCCCCAGCUGACACAAGAGAGAAAAGGGACCAGCUGCACCAGCUUGGAAAAAGAUGGAGUGAGGUGUGGUAUGACAAGCACCGUAGCAAACAAAGUUGGGUGGCAGAGCAAUGAUAG
Thamnophis elegans (Western terrestrial garter snake) is the source of this 304-nucleotide long non-coding RNA. RefSeq lists it as uncharacterized. The transcript is spliced from 3 exons. Lineage: Eukaryota; Metazoa; Chordata; Lepidosauria; Squamata; Natricidae. The record is from RefSeq and is a predicted model, not a curated record.